This 497-nucleotide ribosomal RNA is filed under the name uncultured bacterium. RNAcentral describes it as "partial 16S ribosomal RNA". It matches the Rfam family "Bacterial small subunit ribosomal RNA", at positions 28 to 507 of the family's 1533-position model. The record is from RNAcentral.
GAUGAACGCUGGCGGCGUGCCUAAUACAUGCAAGUCGAGCGAACGGACGAGAAGCUUGCCUCUCUGAUGUUAGCGGCGGACGGGUGAGUAACACGUGGAUAACCUACCUAUAAGACUGGGAUAACUUCGGGAAACCGGAGCUAAUACCGGAUGAUAUUUUGAACCGCAUGGUUCAAAAGUGAAAGACGGUCUUGCUGUCACUUAUAGAUGGAUCCGCGCUGCAUUAGCUAGUUGGUAAGGUAACGGCUUAUCAAGGCAACGAUGCAUAGCCGACCUGAGAGGGUGAUCGGCCACACUGGAACUGAGACACGGUCCAGACUCCUACGGGAGGCAGCAGUAGGGAAUCUUCCGCAAUGGGCGAAAGCCUGACGGAGCAACGCCGCGUGAGUGAUGAAGGUCUUCGGAUCGUAAAACUCUGUUAUUAGGGAAGAACAUAUGUGUAAGUAACUGUGCACAUCUUGACGGUACCUAAUCAGAAAGCCACGGCUAACUACGUG